RNAcentral lists this ribosomal RNA (492 nucleotides) under uncultured bacterium. Its description in RNAcentral is "partial 16S ribosomal RNA". It matches the Rfam family "Bacterial small subunit ribosomal RNA", at positions 29 to 507 of the family's 1533-position model. The record is from RNAcentral.
AGUGAACGCUGGCGGUAGGCCUAACACAUGCAAGUCGAACGGCAGCACAGUAAGAGCUUGCUCUUACGGGUGGCGAGUGGCGGACGGGUGAGGAAUACAUCGGAAUCUACUUUUUCGUGGGGGAUAACGUAGGGAAACUUACGCUAAUACCGCAUACGACCUACGGGUGAAAGCAGGGGAUCUUCGGACCUUGCGCGAUUGAAUGAGCCGAUGUCGGAUUAGCUAGUUGGCGGGGUAAAGGCCCACCAAGGCGACGAUCCGUAGCUGGUCUGAGAGGAUGAUCAGCCACACUGGGACUGAGACACGGUCCAGACUCCUACGGGAGGCAGCAGUGGGGAAUAUUGGACAAUGGGGGCAAGCCUGAUCCAGCCAUACCGCGUGGGUGAAGAAGGCCUUCGGGUUGUAAAGCCCUUUUGUUGGGAAAGAAAAGCAGCAGGUUAAUACCCCGCUGUUCUGACGGUACCCAAAGAAUAAGCACCGGCUAACUUCGUG